GAUGAAGAACGUAGCUAAAUGCGAUAAGUAAUGUGAAUUGCAGAAUUCAGUGAAUCAUCGAAUCUUUGAACGCACAUUGCGCCCGCCAGUAUUCUGGCGGGCAUGCCUGUCCGAGCGUCAUUUCAACCCUCGAACCCCUCCGGGGGGUCGGCGUUGGGGAUCAGCCCUCCCUUAGCGGGUGGCCGUCUCCGAAAUACAGUGGCGGUCUCGCCGCAGCCUCUCCUGCGCAGUAGUUUGCACACUCGCAUCGGGAGCGCGGCGCGUCCACAGCCGUUAAACACCCAACUUCUGAAAUGUUGACCUCGGAUCAGGUAGGAAUACCCGCUGAACUUAAGCAUAUCAAUAAGCGGAGGA
RNAcentral lists this unclassified non-coding RNA (354 nucleotides) under soil metagenome. Its description in RNAcentral is "partial contains 5.8S ribosomal RNA, internal transcribed spacer 2, and large subunit ribosomal RNA". The stretch from base 1 to 120 matches the Rfam family "5.8S ribosomal RNA", at positions 35 to 154 of the family's 154-position model. The record is from RNAcentral.